CAGAUGCCAAUUUCAAUUUACCAUUCGAGCUGAUACUCGCAACAACAACAAUUUCAAAUAAAAUUGGAGAACAACUAUUUUCUCUCACUGCGGCAGAAACUUAUGACAUAUGUUGUGUCAAGGUAAAUUACUCUACAAUGGAUAUCCCAAGUUUUAGUGUCUUUUGGAUGUAAUUGUUAAUAAAAUCUCAGUUUACCCGAUAAAAGAAACAACUGUGAGACUAUGUUAUGAUUCUAGGUCGCAUUGAAGUAUGAGCAUCUAAGUAGCAAAGUUGUAGCUAUGUUCCUCACCCUUUGGUAUGAGUGACAAGUUUAGAUACCGAACCUUUGUCUUUAACUUCUGAUUUUGAGUGCUUUUUUAUAGUACUUUGAUGUUUGAACAGUUUAGGAUUUAGUCAACCAAAAAAUAAAUACACCAGCUGAUUAUGCAUACACUUUCUCUUCUAACAAAAGAAUAUGAACAGAUAUCUCUAUUUUUCACAUUUUUUUGGUGUGUGCAGUGUGUGCAUACUCUCAUACAUUUAUUUAUAGAGUUUAAUGUUGGGGAAUAGGUACUUCUCAGAUUAUAUCUUUUUUUUCCCCUGAAAAACAAAUGACCUACUUUUGUAGGUCACCUUUUGUGUUUUCUAAAUUUGCCGCUUAUAUGUAUUUUAUGCACAUUCCUUUUAGCUCUUGAUCUUACUAUUCAAGUUACUGCUUCUUCCUAAAUCUUUUCUCCCCUGGUCUCUUAUGCAUCUUUCCAUAUUAUUUACAAUUCCUAAUUUAGUUAUUCUUUUAAAUUUGUGUCAAAUUCCCUUUGUUGUUCGUCUUAAUUUGUACAUGUGCGAUCUGAAAUCUCUCUCCCAUGCUUAUUUUGGGGUUAUGUGGUUUCUUUUCCACAUACUUCCUCUACUUGUUCAACUGCUGUGGGUUUUCCCAUGUCACAAAAGAUAACAAUUGAUUACUUUACAGCUACGCAGAUACUUUUUGCUAAAUGCUGUCAAGAAGCUACGAAGAUCGCAAAUGCUGGUAAGAAGCUAUGUAGAACACAGAUCGCAGAACAGAUCGUAAAUAGUAUAGCAUGUAGGCAUGCUGUAUAAAUGAUGCAAUCAUGAAUAUAAACAAGAUUGCAAUUGACAAUCAUAUACUAUAUACCUGUAAAUAAUACGUCAGUUAGCUAAAAAAAUUAUUUCAAUGUUGGGCUCGGGCUAGCACGGGCCAUCACUAUCUAGUAUAUAUAUAAAGGAGACUAUU
This 1232-nucleotide long non-coding RNA is filed under the name Capsicum annuum. Its description in RNAcentral is "long non-coding RNA (CANN_LNC000405)". The record is from RNAcentral. Lineage: Eukaryota; Viridiplantae; Streptophyta; Magnoliopsida; Solanales; Solanaceae.